Molecule: unclassified non-coding RNA, 262 nt
Filed under: Phaeosphaeria sp.
Lineage: Eukaryota; Fungi; Ascomycota; Dothideomycetes; Pleosporales; Phaeosphaeriaceae
Description: partial contains 5.8S ribosomal RNA, internal transcribed spacer 2, and large subunit ribosomal RNA
Source: RNAcentral
AACGCACAUUGCGCCCCUGGCUAUUCUGAGCGGGCAUGCCUGUUCGAGCGUCAUUUCAACCCUCAAGCCCCCUGCGGGCUUGGUGCUGGGGAUCGGCCGUAAAGCGCCGGCCCCGAAACUCAGUGGCGGUCACGCCGCGGCAUCCAUUGCGCAGUAGUAAUGCCUCGCACUGGGAACGCGACGAGUCCACGCCGUAAAACGCAUAGCCUUCGAGCUCCUGAGAGUUGACCUCGGAUCAGGUAGGGAUACCCGCUGAACUUAA